This 826-nucleotide ribosomal RNA is filed under the name uncultured bacterium. RNAcentral describes it as "SSU rRNA". It matches the Rfam family "Bacterial small subunit ribosomal RNA", at positions 358 to 1207 of the family's 1533-position model. The record is from RNAcentral.
GGAAUAUUAGAAAUGGACGAAAGUCUGAUCUAGCAACACCGCGUGUGCGAAGAAGGCCUUCGGGUCGUAAAGCACUUUUUGGUAAGGAAUAGGAAGGAAUGUACUUCCAGAAUAAGUCUCGGCUAACUACGUGCCAGCAGCCGCGGUAACACGUAGGAGGCGAACGUUAUCCGGAUUUACUGGGCGUAAAGCGCGUGUAGGUGGUUCUGUAAGUAGGGCGUGAAAGCUCCCGGCUCAACUGGGAGAGGCCGUUCUAAACUACAGAACUAGAGGAUGGUAGAGGGAGGUGGAAUUCCAGGUGUAGCGGUGGAAUGCGCAGAUAUCUGGAGGAACACCAGUGGCGAAGGCGGCCUCCUGGACCAUUCCUGACACUCAGACGCGAAAGCUAGGGUAGCAAACGGGAUUAGAGACCCCGGUAGUCCUAGCCCUAAACGAUGUAGACUAGGCGUCGGUGGUUUAAUCACCAUCGGUGUCCAAGCUAACGCGAUAAGUCUACCGCCUGGGGACUACGGCCGCAAGGUUAAAACCUCAAAGGAAUUGACGGGUCCCCGCACAGCAGCGGAGCGUGUGGUUUAAUUCGUUGCUACACGAAGAACCCUUACCUGGGGUUUUGACAUAGCAGUGGUAGGGAAGCGAAAGCGGACCGACCCUUCGGGGGAGCUGUUACAGGUGUUGCAUGGCUGUCGUCAGCUCGUGUCGUGAGAUGUUCGGUUAAGUCCGCUAACGAGCGCAACCCGGCGUUUGUGUGUUAACAGUGUCACACAUACCGCGGUAUUAAGUCGGAGGAAGGUGCGGAUGACGUCAAGUCAGCAUGACCCUUUUANAU